AGGUUAAGUUAACAAGGGCGCAUGGUGAAUGCCUUGGCACUAGGAGCCGAUGAAGGACGGGACUAACACCGAUAUGCUUCGGGGAGCUGUACGUAAGCUAUGAUCCGGAGAUUUCCGAAUGGGGCAACCCAGCAGUUUUAAUCAACUGUUACCACUAGAUGAAUUCAUAGUCUAGUUGGAGGUAAACGCUGUGAACUGAAACAUCUCAUUAGCAGCAGGAAUAUAAAGAAAUUUCGAUUCCCUAAGUAGCGGCGAGCGAACGGGGAACAGCCCAAACCAAAGUGCUUGCACUUUGGGGUUGUAGGACUGAACAUUUGAGUUACCAAAGAACUUGAUAGUCGAAGGAUUUGGGAAAAUCCGCCAUAGAUGGUGAUAGCCCAGUAGAUUAAAUCAAAUUCUCUCAGUUCAGGAUCCUGAGUACGGCGGAACACGUGAAAUUCCGUCGGAAUCCGGGAGGACCAUCUCCCAAGGCUAAAUACUACCUAGUGACCGAUAGUGAACCAGUACCGUGAGGGAAAGGUGAAAAGCACCCCGGGAGGGGAGUGAAAUAGUUCCUGAAACCAUGUGCCUACAAUAAGUCAGAGCGCGUUAAUGCGUGAUGGCGUGCCUUUUGUAGAAUGAACCGGCGAGUUAUGAUCCCGUGCAAGGUUAAGACUAAAAAGUCGGAGCCGUAGCGAAAGCGAGUCUGAAAUGGGCGUUUUGAGUACGAGGUUAUAGACCCGAAACCAGGUGACCUAUCCAUGUCCAGGUUGAAGGUGCGGUAAAACGCACUGGAGGACCGAACCCGUGUAAGUUGAAAAUUGCUGGGAUGAGGUGUGGAUAGCGGUGAAAUUCCAAACGAACUUGGAGAUAGCUGGUUCUCUCCGAAAUAGCUUUAGGGCUAGCCUCGGAAUUAGGAUCAUGGAGGUAGAGCACUAUUUGGACUAGGGGCCCGUCUUGGGUUACUGAAUUCAGAUAAACUCCGAAUGCCAUUGAUUCAUAUCCGGGAGUCAGACGAUGAGUGAUAAGAUCCACCGUCGAAAGGGGAACAGCCCAGACCAUCAGUUAAGGUCCCUAAAUGUAUGCUAAGUGGAAAAGGAUGUGGAGUUGCAUAGACAACUAGGAUGUUGGCUCAGAAGCAGCCACCAUUUAAAGAGUGCGUAAUAGCUCACUAGUCGAGUGAUCCUGCGCCGAAAAUGUACCGGGGCUAAGCAUACUACCGAAACCAUGGAUGCGACCAUUAGGUCGCGUGAUAGGAGAGCGUUCUAAGGGCGGUGAAGCAAGAUCGUGAGGACUUGUGGAGCGCUUAGAAGUGAGAAUGCCGGUAUGAGUAGCGAAAGAUAGGUGAGAAUCCUAUCCACCGAAUGACUAAGGUUUCCUGGGGAAGGCUCGUCCUCCCAGGGUUAGUCGGGACCUAAGUCGAGGCCGAGAGGCGUAGACGAUGGAUAACAGGUUGAGAUUCCUGUACUAGUUAAGUGCGUUUGAGCAAUGGAGGGACGCAGGAGGCUAAGAUGUGCAUUCUGUUGGAUUAGAAUGUCCAAGCAGUAAGUCUGAAGAGGAGUCAAAUGCUUCUUUUCUUAAGGACAAGCUGUGAUGGGGAGGGAAAUAAUAGUACCGAAGUUCCUGAUGUCACACUGCCGAGAAAAGCUUCUAGUGAGUACUUAACUCCCGUACCGCAAACCGACACAGGUAGUCGAGGAGAGAAUCCUAAGGUGAGCGAGUGAACUCUCGUUAAGGAACUCGGCAAAAUGACCCCGUAACUUCGGGAGAAGGGGUGCUGAUCGCAAGAUCAGCCGCAGUGAAUAGGCCCAGGCGACUGUUUAUCAAAAACACAGGUCUCUGCAAAAUCGUAAGAUGACGUAUAGGGGCUGACGCCUGCCCGGUGCUGGAAGGUUAAAAGGAUGGGUUAGCUUCGGCGAAGCUCAGAAUUGAAGCCCCAGUAAACGGCGGCCGUAACUAUAACGGUCCUAAGGUAGCGAAAUUCCUUGUCGGGUAAGUUCCGACCCGCACGAAAGGCGUAACGAUCUGGGCACUGUCUCAACGAGAGACUCGGUGAAAUUAUAUUGUCCGUGAAGAUGCGGACUACCCGCGACAGGACGGAAAGACCCCAUGGAGCUUUACUGUAGCUUGAUAUUGAGUGUUUGUACAGCUUGUACAGGAUAGGUAGGAGCCAUAGAAACCGGAACGCUAGUUUCGGUGGAGGCGUUGGUGGGAUACUACCCUCGCUGUAUGACCACUCUAACCCGCACCACUAAUCGUGGUGGGAGACAGUGUCAGGUGGGCAGUUUGACUGGGGCGGUCGCCUCCUAAAAAGUAACGGAGGCGCCCAAAGGUUCCCUCAGAAUGGUUGGAAAUCAUUCGCAGAGUGUAAAGGCACAAGGGAGCUUGACUGCGAGACAGACAGGUCGAGCAGGGACGAAAGUCGGGCUUAGUGAUCCGGUGGUACCGUAUGGAAGGGCCAUCGCUCAACGGAUAAAAGCUACCCUGGGGAUAACAGGCUUAUCUCCCCCAAGAGUCCACAUCGACGGGGAGGUUUGGCACCUCGAUGUCGGCUCAUCGCAUCCUGGGGCUGUAGUCGGUCCCAAGGGUUGGGCUGUUCGCCCAUUAAAGCGGUACGCGAGCUGGGUUCAGAACGUCGUGAGACAGUUCGGUCCCUAUCCGUCGCGGGCGUAGGAAAUUUGAGAGGACCUGUCCUUAGUACGAGAGGACCGGGAUGGACAUACCUCUGGUGUACCAGUUGUGCCGCCAGGCGCAUCGCUGGGUAGCUACGUAUGGAUGUGAUAAACGCUGAAAGCAUCUAAGUGUGAAACACACCUCGAGAUGAGAUUUCCCAUUCCUUUAUGGAAGUAAGACCCCUGAAAGAUGAUCAGGUAGAUAGGUUAGAAGUGGCAGUGCGGUGACGCAUGAAGCGGACUAAUACUAAUCGGUCGAGGACUUAACCAAG
Molecule: ribosomal RNA, 2923 nt
Filed under: Lactiplantibacillus plantarum
Lineage: Bacteria; Bacillati; Bacillota; Bacilli; Lactobacillales; Lactobacillaceae
Description: 23S ribosomal RNA
Rfam family: Bacterial large subunit ribosomal RNA
Source: RNAcentral